Long non-coding RNA from Triticum aestivum (bread wheat), 2072 nucleotides. RefSeq lists it as uncharacterized. The record is from RefSeq and is a predicted model, not a curated record. Lineage: Eukaryota; Viridiplantae; Streptophyta; Magnoliopsida; Poales; Poaceae. The transcript has 3 exons.
GACGGCGACGGACCGAGAGAAACACGUUGCAAGGGGGUCGGUCGGCAACGGGAGUGAAUGGCCAUGGCCGCCCAUGGGUGUCCCGCUGAAAUUUGUUUACCUUUUCCGUUUGUCUGUGAGCACCCUUCCACAAAACACCAUCUAUCUUUUAAUUAUUUUGAGAAUAAAUACAACGGAUGAGCCGUUUCGGUGCCUGAGCCCAGCUGAGCUCGAUAUCUUCUGUGUUUGGGAUCCGUGAAAAGGUGUCUGCCUGGACUGCCACGGAGUUUAGGAAAAUAGCACUGGGGCGAAAUACGCGACGGAACAGUAGGCAUACGUGGGCCCUAGGUCAAGCGGGGGGGCGACGGAAACGGUCGUGUGGUCUGGUCCGUGGCCCAGAACGUGAUGGGGUUUUCCGAGCCAUGGACCAGAACGUAUGGUCUGAUUCGUUCUAGAAACACUUGCCGGCCCGCGUAUCCGUCUUGCUUCCAACCACUCGCCGGCGGCGCUCGGUCAACACCGGCGGUACCUGCGUGCAAAAAAUGGAGGAUGCUGGCAUGGAGUUCCUCCUAGAUGCCGUUGACAGGUUAGGUAUCUCAGAUCUGCUUUCGCUUCUUUUCUUUUGCCGCCUGUUUCUCAGGUUCCCCUUGCGAGAGGAGUUUGCCGACAGCCAUGGACAACCAGAUUCGAUUCCUCUGGUCCUGCUGGCAAACAUCGGCUCGGGAGCAGCCGUGCCUGCAGACUCGGAUGCUGGCUCUGGGUGUGGUUAACAAAUCGGUGGCGAAGUCAAUGGUGCCCCAAGAGCUUGGGGCCGGCGAAGACCGGACUCAUCUUCGACGAGGUCUGCGCAGUCGACUGACAGGGUCAACCCGCAGGCCCCUGAGUGGACAAAAAGAUUACAGCUGGGUAGUGGUCCACCAGAUCGGGCACCAUACCCUCCCAGAAUGAGUGCUAUGGAGCAGUCGAUUGGCAAAAUACGCGGAGGAGCCAACAAAGAGUGUAAUUAAGCCAGAACUUGGCCUGAGUUUCGAUUCGUUGGGUGAGGCAUAUGACUUAUAGAAUUUGUAUUCCUAUGAGAUUGGCUUUGGUAUUAGAUGGGAUAAGAGCAGAUUAAACGCAAAGAGGACAAAAUGCAUGCAAGAGAUUGUCUUUGGUUGCUCGGGCAAGCCGGAGACUGAGAAUAGUAGGUGAUGCAGAUGUGAGUGCCUGGCCUUGAUUAGGUUGUUACGUGCAGCAGACAAACCUGGUAUAUACAGAGCGUCGUGAAAGCCACAACCAUUCUAUGUCGUUGAUAAUGGGCGAGAAAGUGCACUGGCUGUCGCAGAAACACAUUGAUGUGUACACAAAGGAUUUGAUAAAACAGUUCAGGGAGAAUAGUGUGAACCUUGGGAAGGUAUACAACAUAAUUGGCAGUUUCUUUGGGUCAGUCGAGAAAGUGCCAUUCACAAAACGGACUCUAAGGAAAAUUUGCGGUAAGAUACGUCAUGAGCAGGCAGAGGACGAUGUUAGGAAAAACUUUGGAGGUGUUUGCUGACAUUGUGAAUGGUGAUCAUGAAUUUACAUCCAAAGUUUUGGCAGACGGAAUAAGGUGAAGAACUUCAUGUGGACUAAUGGUAGCAGCUGAAUGCAGUACAAGUUCUUUGGUGAUGUGGUCACUUUCGAUACAACUUACAGGACAAACCUACAUGACAAAUAGCAGAGAGAUGGCAUCGUACGAGGGGCUGAGUAAGCGGACAAGGUUCUGCAGCAUAUGUCGUCAUGAGGGACACAAACGGACUACGUGCCCUGAAAGAGGGGAUGCACCAAAGAAACUGCGGAAGCCUGGGAAGUGCAAGAAUUGCGGCAUGGAAUGACACCGCCGGACCACGUGCACUAGGCGGAUGGGUGUUGCUGAGAAAUGAAUUAUGAACUUUAGAUACUCUGUAUUAUUGUAGUUCUGAGGACUUUCUGGUGUGUUUCCGUGAGCGUUGCUCCACGCUUGUUCCUCCGUUUCGAUAGUCAUGUGGCAGACUGUAAAAGUUAGAGCAAACAUUUGUUUAGCAAUCAUCUGUGAAUUAUUCAUUUGGUUAGAGCAAACAUUUGUUUAGCAAUCA